RNAcentral lists this unclassified non-coding RNA (378 nucleotides) under uncultured bacterium. Its description in RNAcentral is "contains 16S-23S intergenic spacer region". The record is from RNAcentral.
UCGCGGCUUAUCACCGGCAGUCCCCUUAGAGUGCCCAACUAAAUGAUGGCAACUAAGGGCGAGGGUUGCGUUCGUUGCGGGACUUAACCCAACAUCUCACGACACGAGCGGACGACAGCCAUGCACCACCUGUGAAGGUGCCCCGAAGGGAGACCGUGUUUCCACGGCUGUCACCUACAUGUCAAGCCCAGGUAAGGUUCUUCGCGUUGCGUCGAAUUGAACCACAUGCUCCGCUGCUUGUGCGGGUCCCCGUCAAUUCCUUUGAGUUUUAGCCUUGCGGCCGAACUCCCCAGGCGGGGCGCUUAAUGCGUUAGCUGCGGCACAGAGAACCGGAGAGGUCCCCCACACCUAGCGCCCAACGUUUACAGCGUGGACUAC